Molecule: ribosomal RNA, 440 nt
Filed under: uncultured bacterium
Lineage: Bacteria
Description: partial 16S ribosomal RNA
Rfam family: Bacterial small subunit ribosomal RNA
Source: RNAcentral
CCUACGGGAGGCAGCAGUGGGGAAUAUUGCACAAUGGGGGAAACCCUGAUGCAGCGACGCCGCGUGAGUGAAGAAGUCCUUCGGGAUGUAAAGCUCUAUCAGCAGGGAAGAAAAUGACGGUACCUGACCAAGAAGCCCCGGCUAACUACGUGCCAGCAGCCGCGGUAAUACGUAGGGGGCAAGCGUUAUCCGGAUUUACUGGGUGUAAAGGGAGCGUAGACGGUUGUGCAAGUCUGGAGUGAAAGGCGGGGGCCCAACCCCCGGACUGCUCUGGAAACUGUAAAACUGGAGUGCAGGAGAGGUAAGUGGAAUUCCUAGUGUAGCGGUGAAAUGCGUAGAUAUUAGGAGGAACACCAGUGGCGAAGGCGGCUUACUGGACUGUAACUGACGUUGAGGCUCGAAAGCGUGGGGAGCAAACAGGAUUAGAUACCCGAGUAGUC